AUGGAGCUCAGGAAGGCUAUCUGCAACAAGCUUCAGGAGGAUAAUGGUCUAACCUAUAGCCCAGAUCAUGUGCUAGCAACCAAUGGGGCUAAGCAAUGCACUACACACGCUGUUCUUGAUGUUCUCUCAUGUGGUGAUGAGCGCCAUGGAUCAGUCCCUGCUAUAGGAGAGAGAGAAGAUGAGAGGAUGAGAGAGAAGGAAGGAGAGGAGGGAGAAAGAGAGAGGAAAGAGUACCUGGAGGUGCGUCGACCGGCGUCGGCAUGUGCUGGCAAGGUUGGGCGGGACCGGGUGGUUGGCUGCGGCUCCGUGGUUUCAGAUGGGGCACCGUGGGGAGCCAGGGAGGCAGCUUGGCCCAGCCAUGGCGUUGGUGCUGCGGAGAGCCGCCUCGCGCUACUUCAUCGUCGACACUACAGGCUUCGCCGCCGCCUACGCGAUGCCGCCCCAGGGGGAUCAGCAGCAGCCCCCCUCGCUGCAGGGGCCCAGCCAGCAGGUCGGGGCCAAGCUGGGGCCCUGCAUCGAGUGCAGCGCCACCGGCACAAGAAGUGCUCUGGGUGCAAGUGCAUGCAUAUUGGUGCGCCCCCACCCCCCGCCCUCGUCCCCCUCCCUAUUUCUUGGUAUGACAUGGUUGUGGGCGUCCUGAUCUUGCAUUGCCGCUGA
Molecule: ribosomal RNA, 657 nt
Filed under: Triticum aestivum (bread wheat)
Lineage: Eukaryota; Viridiplantae; Streptophyta; Magnoliopsida; Poales; Poaceae
Description: partial small subunit ribosomal RNA
Source: RNAcentral